Molecule: ribosomal RNA, 253 nt
Filed under: uncultured bacterium
Lineage: Bacteria
Description: partial 16S ribosomal RNA
Rfam family: Bacterial small subunit ribosomal RNA
Source: RNAcentral
UACGUAGGUGGCAAGCGUUGUCCGGAUUUACUGGGCGUAAAGCGCGCGCAGGCGGACUGAUCAGUCUGGGGUGAAAUCUCCCGGCUCAACUGGGAGCGGUCCCUGGAUACUGUCAGUCUUGAGAGACCUAGAGGAGAGCGGAAUUCCCGGUGUAGUGGUGGAAUGCGUAGAUAUCGGGAAGAACACCAGUGGCGACAGCGGCUCUCUGGGGGUUUUCUGACGCUGAGGCGCGAAAGCGUGGGGAGCGAACCGG